UUUCAAGGAACAACAGAGAGAUGGUAUUUCCAGACAAGGGAAUAAAUUCCCGGAAGCAACUGGCCAAGGAAUGAAAAUCCUGGAGAACAGAGUGGAAGAAACGCGUAUUCCACAUUUCCUGUUGAUUUUCUUUCCUCCCUAAACACUGACCUCCCGCAGUCUUCACUAGCAGGUGAGGUCACCUGUAGAGGUCAUGCUGCGGAGUCCCGAGUCCCUGAUUAUAUUCAAGACGUGGAGCUCUCUUUUUCCCGUCCUGCUUUCUUUCCAGAAGUGCCUCAGAUGCAUCCUCCCCUUCUCUUUUCUCCACAUGAAGACGUCACUGACCAUCUUCUCUGGUUUGCUUUCCAACACCGAGCACCAAGUGCUUCAAAGGUCAUGGUGCCCUGGGGCCGAGAGCUACUUAUGUGGGCAUUUAUAACCAAAUAAAUAUUGAAAUGGCCCACAAAGCAAAUGUUAGUGGUAACCAACAGCGGUAAAACUGGGUACAUGGGACCCUGAACCUUCUUGAAUAUUCCCCAUGAGACCCUGGGCCGACCUUCGGGCUUUCCAGUGUGCUCAGAAAAUCCUCCGUGGCUCCCAGCCCCAGCUUAGUCUUUCAACGGUCCUCGGACUGAAGCAAGAGACAGGGAAGGAAUUGUCCAAGGUUUUCCAGCAUGCUGAGAACACUUACCAUGGUGGAGCCUGGCACGUACUGGCUCUUUGAUGCAUGUGUAUUGGUCUCAAGUAGCCAGAAGCAUCUCCUCUGAGAGCCCUUGCCCUCCAGUUUAAAUGGCAAAUGGAAGGGAAUGGGUUCUGGAAGGCCCCAGGUGGGCUGGGGUGGGUUCUGGAGACCAUCUUCCAACUCCUGUUCAGGAGGAGGGUUGGUCAGAUCAGCUCUGUGGCCACCUGGGCUCUGGAGGGGCGAGAUACGGGCAGGUGCGGCCACAGGAGGGAGAGCACCAUGUGCGGGGGAAGCCCACAGCUGGAACCAAAAGGCCCCAGGAGGGAUCCUGGCUCUGACAUCUCCCAGCCGUGUGGCCUUGGGCAAGGUCCCUGACUUGGACCUCAGCCUCCUCAUCUGUAAAACAGGCAGAACAGUAAUACCGACCUUGUAGGUUGUAUAGAGUUCAUAUACAUCAAGCACUUACCACAGUGCCUGGCGGACCGCAUGCCCUAAACACACAAUCCGUGAAAUGAAUCCAUCAGCAAGCAGCUGCUAGGGGCAGUGUGGGGCAGAGAGGCAGCUGCCUGCUGGAACUGGCUGACAGGAGGAUGAGUGUGUGGCAGGAGGAACGCUCUGCACAGAGGACACUAGGUAGCGUCACCUGUCUCUUACCCUGUGUCUCCACUGGAAUGGAAUGUCAGACUCGCACCAUGCAUUCCUUUCCCUGCCAAAACGCCUCCUCUUAGCAGUGAGCAAGAAAGUUGUUCGAGUGGAUGAAGCCAAAAGCCCAUUUGGCAAGAGUGCUGUUUUGGAAAAUGCUUAGCGGUGUGGGUUGGGAUGAGGUUUUCUGUGCCUUUCCAUUAUUUCUUCAGCUUCAUGUAACCCUGACUGAGCAAUGCUCAGCAGAGUGAAGGCUGGGCAGCAGAUGGACAAGAUUUUCUCAAACUCCUUUUUAAGCCAAUUUCAAAAUAGAGAGAGGGAAAAAUCCUUGUUUUCUCUUUUCGGUUUUGAGAGGUUUCAUAUGCAGACACAAUUUUAAAUUUUAUUUUUUUUGCCCCCAAUGAGAUGUUUGGAGAUGGUGGUACUAGAACAGGAAGGAAUUUAUAAGUAUUGGGGAAUUUUUCAUCCCAAUUCCCAUAUCCUCCUAUAAUUCAAGGAGUGAAUGGGUAGUGUUUUUGUUUUUGUGAGAGGGGUGGCGGAGGGUAGAGAGAGAAAGAGAGAGAGACAGAGAGAGAUUACAUAGAGGUGUCCAAAAUGAACACAGUAAAAACCAGUUUUGAUUAAUUCUGCAAUAUUAAGUAGGCAGCCAAAAAUUUUGGUCUGCUUAAUUCUUAGCUCAUCUAAGUCUCCAGUUGACUGAUUGAUUGAUUGAAUGACUUAUUCAACAUGCGCUAGCCAGACACUGGUCUAGGGCCCAGGAAUUCAGCAAUAAAUGAAACAAGACCAAAAAAA
Molecule: long non-coding RNA, 2095 nt
Filed under: Homo sapiens (human)
Lineage: Eukaryota; Metazoa; Chordata; Mammalia; Primates; Hominidae
Description: long intergenic non-protein coding RNA 323
Source: RNAcentral